This 451-nucleotide ribosomal RNA is filed under the name uncultured bacterium. Its description in RNAcentral is "bacterial SSU rRNA". It matches the Rfam family "Bacterial small subunit ribosomal RNA", at positions 354 to 796 of the family's 1533-position model. The record is from RNAcentral.
GUGGGGAAUAUUGCGCAAUGGGGGAAACCCUGACGCAGCGACGCCGCGUGGGCGAUGAAGGCCUUCGGGUCGUAAAGCCCUGUCGAGCGGGGCGAAACGUGCGAGCUCUAACAUAGCUCGUGCCUGACGGUACCGCUUGAGGAAGCCCCGGCUAACUCCGUGCCAGCAGCCGCGGUAAUACGGAGGGGGCUAGCGUUAUUCGGAAUUAUUGGGCGUAAAGGGCGUGUAGGCGGCUGCGUAAGUCUCGUGUGAAAGCCCUCGGCUUAACCGGGGAACUGCACGAGAAACUGCGUAGCUCGAGUCCGGGAGAGGAUAGUGGAAUUCCCAGUGUAGCGGUGAAAUGCGUAGAUAUUGGGAGGAACACCAGUGGCGAAGGCGGCUAUCUGGACCGGUACUGACGCUGAGACGCGAAAGCCAGGGGAGCAAACGGGAUUAGAAACCCUAGUAGUCC